This is a long non-coding RNA of Peromyscus eremicus (cactus mouse), 231 nucleotides long. RefSeq lists it as uncharacterized. Lineage: Eukaryota; Metazoa; Chordata; Mammalia; Rodentia; Cricetidae. The record is from RefSeq and is a predicted model, not a curated record. The transcript is spliced from 2 exons.
UGAGAAUCACAGUCACACCUGGCAUGAUCACUGAGGCUCUGUCAUGGCUGCCCUGAAAAUUUGAAAGAUGCUGCCUCCUGAAGACGCAUGAGAUAGUACGGCCUGCACCGUACUGGAACUAAUUCAUUCCAACUAAACUCUGUUCUUCCCUUUUGUAAAGUUCAAACUUCCCCAAUUGUCUUUGAAGCUCACUCUGCGUGAAUCAAAAUGAAAAAAAAAAAAAAAAGACAA